CAGUCGCCACGGUAACACCAGCACCUCGAGUGGUCAGGAGGUUUAUUGGGCCUAAAGCAUCCGUAGCCGGUUGCAUAAGUUUUCGGUUAAAUCUAUGCGCUUAACGUAUAGGCCGCCGAAAAUACUGUGCAGCUAGGGAGUGGGAGAGGUACACGGUACUCGAUAGGAAGGGGUAAAAUCCUUUGAUCUAUUGAUGACCACCUGUGGCGAAGGCGGUGUACCAGAACACGUUCGACGGUGAGGGAUGAAAGCUGGGGGAGCAAACCGGAUUAGAUACCCCAGUAGUCCCUGUCUCUUAUAC
This 301-nucleotide ribosomal RNA is filed under the name uncultured bacterium. RNAcentral describes it as "partial 16S ribosomal RNA". It matches the Rfam family "Archaeal small subunit ribosomal RNA", at positions 459 to 760 of the family's 1478-position model. The record is from RNAcentral.